This 403-nucleotide ribosomal RNA is filed under the name bacterium. Its description in RNAcentral is "partial 16S ribosomal RNA". It matches the Rfam family "Bacterial small subunit ribosomal RNA", at positions 355 to 776 of the family's 1533-position model. The record is from RNAcentral.
UGGGGAAUAUUGCACAAUGGAGGGAACUCUGAUGCAGCGACGCCGCGUGAACGAAGAAGGCUUUCGAGUCGUAAAGUUCUUUUAUAUGGGAAGAUAAUGACGGUACCAUAAGAAAAAGCCCCGGCUAACUACGUGCCAGCAGCCGCGGUAAUACGUAGGGGGCUAGCGUUGUCCGGAAUCACUGGGCGUAAAGGGUUCGCAGGCGGAAAUGCAAGUCAGGUGUAAAAGGCAGUAGCUUAACUACUGUAAGCAUUUGAAACUGCAUAUCUUGAGAAGAGUAGAAGUAAGUGGAAUUUUUAGUGUAGCGGUGAAAUGCGUAGAUAUUAAAAAGAAUACCGGUGGCGAAGGCGGCUUACUGGGCUCAUUCUGACGCUGAGGAACGAAAGCGUGGGUAGCAAACAGG